UUUACCGCCAAAUACGCAUGCGUCCAAGGUCUAUUCAACUUCUCGCACCAGUCGCGCCUCCGAUUAACUGUGCCUUCGUCGGUUGUGCCUCCAAUCAACGGUGCCUCUAUCAGUCUCUCACAUCGGUCACGUCGCACGUCUCUCACGCCGGUCACUCACUUCGUCGCACGGCUCUCUCUCUUUAGCACCGUCACGCCAUUCAAACGUGCACGUCCAGACUCACCUAGUUCUGUCACGCCGCUGCCACUCGUCAACCUCUACCGUAGCUCCUCUAUCGUUCCAAGUCACACCUGAUGCAUUUCUGUUUCUAUCAAUGCUGGGGGUUACACUUCAGUGAGCUUGUUCAGACCGGGACAUCUGUACUGCCACUUGUCCUGAUACUGGAAUGCGACAAUUGGGACUUCACAUUUUAUGCAAAUGAAUAACUGGGCUUUGUUGUACUUUACGAACUAAAUUUGCUCAGAAUGUGUAAAUGAUCACUCCUUUUACUGGCCUCUGGCGUGCGGAUCAAACUAGGUGGAAGAAAGGAGGAUGUUCAAGUAUCAAUCUUAAGGAAAACAAGAAUUCACCCGGUUUUUGUAUUGCAAGGUAAAUACUGGUAAGUUUCCAUUCUUCACAAAUUCUGAAUCGACCAUAUUUUCUUGUCGUCUGAUCUGACUCCCUACAUGAAGUUAAAGGCCAUAUUUUUCACCAAUGGUUUUACAAAAAAAAUUGAUGUUUUCUUUUUCGGUUAUGUCGAUUUUGGA
Benincasa hispida (wax gourd) is the source of this 746-nucleotide non-coding RNA. Lineage: Eukaryota; Viridiplantae; Streptophyta; Magnoliopsida; Cucurbitales; Cucurbitaceae. The record is from RefSeq and is a predicted model, not a curated record.